Molecule: ribosomal RNA, 406 nt
Filed under: uncultured bacterium
Lineage: Bacteria
Description: partial 16S ribosomal RNA
Rfam family: Bacterial small subunit ribosomal RNA
Source: RNAcentral
AUUGAACGCUGGCGGCAGGCCUAACACAUGCAAGUCGAACGAGUGGCGGACGGGUGAGUAAUGUCUGGGAAACUGCCCGAUGGAGGGGGAUAACUACUGGAAACGGUAGCUAAUACCGCAUACCAUCGGAUGUGCCCAGAUGGGAUUAGCUAGUAGGUGGGGUAACGGCUCACCUAGGCGACGGUCCCUAGCUGGUCUGAGAGGAUGACCAGCAACACUGGAAAGGAGACAAGGGCCAGAGCCCUACGGAAGGCAGCAGUGGGGAAUAUUGCACAAUGGGCGCAAGCCUGAUACAGCCAUGCCGCGUGUAUGAAGAAGGCCUUCGGGUUGUAAAGUACUUUCAGCGAGGAGGCGUUACGCGCAGAAGAAGCACCGGCUAACUCCGUGCCAGCAGCCGCGGUAAUUC